RNAcentral lists this ribosomal RNA (349 nucleotides) under uncultured bacterium. RNAcentral describes it as "bacterial SSU rRNA". It matches the Rfam family "Bacterial small subunit ribosomal RNA", at positions 72 to 422 of the family's 1533-position model. The record is from RNAcentral.
AGGCCCUUUCGGGGGUACUCGAGUGGCGAACGGGUGAGUAACACGUGGGUGAUCUGCCCUGCACUUCGGGAUAAGCUUGGGAAACUGGGUCUAAUACCGGAUAGGACUACGGCAUGCAUGUGCUGUGGUGGAAAGUUUUUAACGGUGUGGGAUGGGCCCGCGGCCUAUCAGCUUGUUGGUGGGGUGAUGGCCUACCAAGGCGACGACGGGUAGCCGGCCUGAGAGGGUGUCCGGCCACACUGGGACUGAGAUACGGCCCAGACUCCUACGGGAGGCAGCAGUGGGGAAUAUUGCACAAUGGGCGCAAGCCUGAUGCAGCGACGCCGCGUGGGGGAUGACGGCCUUCGGG